GACAGGACAGGGAAGGGAUGAGGGUACUCUCCGAUGGCAAUUAAGGGAUGGUUGGGAGGGAGUGCCCCCUUGCUCCUGCGAUCCGUGCGGGUCAUCGGCACUUCCACAGGAAAGGAGAAGGAAAAGGAAAAGUACUGGCCAGGGCGCUGCUCCCAGGCACCUGCCCAAUCCUGCCUUCUAGACAGAGGCACACCCGCGCCAGAAGGCCUGAAAGUCAGGAAGCGAGUGCCAAAAGGAAGCAGGGCACGCCUGCAGGAAGCUCCUACUGGCUCAAGUCUGGACUUUAAGUGCUUCCAUAAGGAUAACAACUGCCAGGAAUGGAACUUCAAGAGAUUAUUUUGGCAAGUCUUGAGUUCCCGAUGCUCUUUCAUUGCAAAGUAACUCCUGGAUCACGGCUGGUUUUGUUUGUGGUCGGUUUCCUGGUGGUUUUGGAGGCUGAGGAUGAUCUCCACCCCUGGGGAAUUCAGGGGAAGCGUGGACCCUGAACCUCGGUACUCUGUCCUGCUACCCUUGGACGUGCCCCUUCACCAAAGGGCAGCCAUGGCACGAGGACCCUUAGGACACCAGGGACACAGCUAAGAACUGGAAGCGAAAGGAAACGAGGGAAGCAGUAUGUCCUCACCUCCACCACCACUGCCAAGGCACUGCCAAAGCUGUCCUGGACCUAGGGCACGGAGGGGUGCUUCGCUGGGACUUGGCGGCCUUCCAGGACUGACCAGGAGACACAAGGUGCCUAGAGACCAGGGGACACACCAGCAGGCAGAUCCCUGCCACGAGGGUCCCUCCUGAGUGCCACCAAGGGCUCUGACCCAAGAGUAGACCUGCCUGGGGGUGGG
RNAcentral lists this long non-coding RNA (836 nucleotides) under Sus scrofa (pig). RNAcentral describes it as "lncRNA (ENSSSCG00070006339.1)". The record is from RNAcentral. Lineage: Eukaryota; Metazoa; Chordata; Mammalia; Artiodactyla; Suidae.